GACGAACGCUGGCGGCGUGCUUAACACAUGCAAGUCGAACGGAAAGGCCCUGCUUGCGCGGCGCUCAAGUGGCCAACGGAUGAGUAACACGUGGGUGAUCUGCCCCUUACUUUGAGAUAAACCUGGGAAACUGGGUCUAAUACUGGAUAGGACCAUGCUGUAAGUGGUGUGGUGGAAAGAUUUUUUCGGUAAGGGAUGAGCUCGCGGCCUAUCACCUUGUUGGUGGGGUAAUGGCCUACCAAGGCGUCUACGGGUAGCCGGCCUGAGAGGGAGGACGGCCACAUUGUCGACUGAGAUACGGCCCAAGACUCCUACCGGAGGCCCAGUGGGGAAUAUUGCACAAUGGGCGCAAGCCUGAUGCAACGACUCCGCGAGGGGGAUGACGGCCUUCAGGGUUGUAAACUCCUUUCAGCCACUGACGAAUCCUCUUUUGGGGUGACGGUAGUGGUAUAAGAAGCACCGGCUAACUACGUGCCAGCAACCGCGGUAAUACUUAGGGUGCGAGCGUUGUCCGGAAUUACUGGGCGUAAAGAGCUCGUAGGUGGUCUGUCGCGUCAUUUGUGAAAGCCCGGUGCUUAGCUCCAGGUUGGCACGUGAUACUCGCCUGACUGGAGUACUGUAGGGGAGACUGGAAUUCCUGGUGUAGCGGUGAAAUGCGCAGAUAUCAGGAGCAACACCGGUGGCGAAGGCGGGUCUCUGGGCAGUAACUGACGCUGAGGAGCGAAAGCGUGGAUAGCGAACAGGAUUAGAUACCCUGGUAGUCCAUGCCGUAAACGGAGGGCGCUAGGUGUGGGUUUCCUUCCACGGGAUCCGUGCCGUAGCAAACGCAUUAAGCGCCCCGCCUGGGGAGUACGGCCGCGAGGCUAAUACUCAAAGGAAUUGACGGGGGCCCGCACAAGCGGCAGGAGCAUGUGGAUUAAUUCGAUGCAACGCGAAGAACCUUACCUGGGCUUGACAUGCACUGGAUGCGGCCAGAGAUGGUUGUUCCCUUUGUGGCUGGUGUGCAGGUGGUGCAUGGUUGUCGUCAGCUCGUGUCGUGAGAUGUUGGGUUAAGUCCCGCAACGAGCGCAACCCUUGUCUCGUGUUGCCAGCAUUUGGUUGGGGACUCGCGGGAGACUGCCGGGGUUAACUCGGAGGAAGGUGGGGAUGACGUCAAAUCAUCAUGCCCCUUAUGUCCAGGGCUUCACACAUGCUACAAUGGCUGGUACAGAGAGUUGCGAUACCGUGAGGCGGGGCUAAUCUCCUAAAGCCAGUCUCAGUUCGGAUUGGAGUCUGCAACUUGACUCCAUGAAGUCGGAGUCGCUAGUAAUCGCAGAUCAGCAAUGCUGCGGUGAAUACGUUCCCGGGCCU
This 1350-nucleotide ribosomal RNA is filed under the name uncultured bacterium. Its description in RNAcentral is "bacterial SSU rRNA". It matches the Rfam family "Bacterial small subunit ribosomal RNA", at positions 28 to 1381 of the family's 1533-position model. The record is from RNAcentral.